CCUUGGCAAGAUAAAGUGCUGUUUCUCGAAUGCAAAUUGUCCAGGUUAUUUGGGGGAAUCACUUUCUGUGAGUUGCUUUAACAUCCAUUCAACUUGCUCAAUUAUCGUGCAUCUUUGGUCAGGAACUAUGAAUGGUGGCUUACUAUCAAGAACAUUUCUAGGCGGCUUUCCAGUUAACAGAUUAAUUAGGCUUAUUGUUCUGUGAACUAUGUUAUUAUUCUAAAAUUCCUACAGGGUUAAAACGUUAUGAUGUUCAAAGAGCAUGAGCAUGUCCUGGAACACUGAGAUCUAUCGCCAUACCUCUUCUUUAAGUUUCUUGCUGGUCACUAUCCCUCUACUAUCUGCUAAAAACUUUCUUGGUGCUUCUUGCGAGAGUCUUGGUAUCUUAAUUCAACUACUUGGGGGACCGGACUCUCUGACUUGAACCUGUGAAUCUCUUGUCCUAUAAAGAAAACUGAAGAAAGGUUGUUGAUUGUGCAAUUUUACCUUUGAGGACUUACUAAUCUUAUCUUAGUAAGCUGAGAUAGGUUUACUAAAGCAGAAAUUGUGCUUAGCCAACCUGUUUCAGCUCAUUGUUGCCAAUAUGGUAACCUAAUUCCGCCUUCCCUUCACUCCCAUAGCGAAUUUGUUUAGCCGCUCUGUCAUUAUAAACUGCUUCUGCUGAAAUUCACAACUUGGAGUCAUUUAGGCAAUCAAAGAUUGACUUUGCAGGAUUAAUUGUGUUAACAAACUUCACUAUAAAGAUUAGCAGUAGAUUCCUUGUCAGAAUUUGAACCGUGUUUCUUGAUCCUGACAUAUACUUGUUAUAUAUUCGAGAUUUAGGAUUACCAGAUUCAGGGGUGGCGCAACGGCAGUUGAAUCAGAGAAAAGCUCCGGUUAUGGUGGCAUGAAAACUUUGUGAAACAGCAAAUGGGUCUCUUGAUACAGAGCACCGAGUCGAAAGAGGCUGAGUUUUGGCGAGUCGGUGAGUUGACUUGGGACAGAUGAUUAAAAAUACGUGAGAUGUGGCUUUUACCACCGGAAUGUUACCGGAUUUAUGCCGGUUUAUCGGAGAUGUGCUUAAGGUUGUAAUGAACGGAUGAAGGCAGGACAGGGUAAAAGAAGAGGAAAUAAGGUCUUGUAUAGUUAAGAUGUUGCUUGAUUGUUUACAUAAGAGAUUGGCCGAAUAUAUAAGCAUACACUAACCAAACUUGGGGACCAAGCUUGUUACUGUAGAAUGUAUUAUUCAAAGUUUCUAACAACGUUUAUUAAUAGACCCGGGGACCAAUUUUGAUCAACUUUGCAGCAAAUUGAUCUGGUCUUUGUUG
This 1307-nucleotide long non-coding RNA is filed under the name Daucus carota (carrot). RNAcentral describes it as "long non-coding RNA (DCAR_LNC006002)". The record is from RNAcentral. Lineage: Eukaryota; Viridiplantae; Streptophyta; Magnoliopsida; Apiales; Apiaceae.